Molecule: non-coding RNA, 20 nt
Filed under: Arabidopsis thaliana (thale cress)
Lineage: Eukaryota; Viridiplantae; Streptophyta; Magnoliopsida; Brassicales; Brassicaceae
Also listed under: 2 other names
Source: RNAcentral
AGAAGACCCUGUUGAGCUUG